This is a non-coding RNA of Polyodon spathula (Mississippi paddlefish), 460 nucleotides long. Lineage: Eukaryota; Metazoa; Chordata; Actinopteri; Acipenseriformes; Polyodontidae. The record is from the annotation of a RefSeq genome assembly.
AUUUUAACAGCUCUCUGUAUAAUAAUGACAGCUCUAUCAAGUGUCCGGUCUGAUGUAGUGUUGACUGAGUCCGGAGCAGGAGUUGCAAAGCCUGGAGGGUCCCAUAAACUGUCCUGUAAAGCCUCUGGAUUCACAUUCAGCAGCUACUCCAUGGGCUGGGUUCGACAAGCUCCUGGAAAGGGUCUGGAAUGGGUGGCUUACAUUAGCUAUGCUGGUAGUAGUACAAGCUAUGCCCCGUCUGUCCAGGGAAGAUUCACCAUCUCCAGAGACAAUUCCAACAGCAUGCUGUAUUUACAAAUGAACAGCCUGAAGACUGAAGACUCUGCCCUGUAUUACUGUGCUCGAGGCUCACAGUGAUGCAAUCAAACCAAGCAGCCGUACAAAAACCCCUCUCUUCAGGACUGCAGCACUGAUCACUCACAGCUUCUGCUUUCUUUUUCAUGGUUGAGUUGUGGCAGAU